GCGCUUGUGGCGAAAUUGGUAGACGCGCCAGACUUAGGAUCUGGUGUCGCGAGACGUGUAGGUUCGAGUCCUAUCAGGCGCACAA
This 85-nucleotide transfer RNA is filed under the name Alloprevotella sp. RNAcentral describes it as "tRNA-Leu". It matches the Rfam family "tRNA". Rfam says of the family: Transfer RNA (tRNA) molecules are approximately 80 nucleotides in length. Their secondary structure includes four short double-helical elements and three loops (D, anti-codon, and T loops). Lineage: Bacteria; Pseudomonadati; Bacteroidota; Bacteroidia; Bacteroidales; Prevotellaceae. The record is from RNAcentral.